GCCUGGGUGGCUCAGUUGGUUAAGUGUCUGACUUUGGCUCAGGUCAUGAUCUCCCAGUGCGUGGGUUCAAGUCCUGUGUCAGGCU
RNAcentral lists this transfer RNA (85 nucleotides) under Felis catus (domestic cat). It matches the Rfam family "tRNA". Rfam says of the family: Transfer RNA (tRNA) molecules are approximately 80 nucleotides in length. Their secondary structure includes four short double-helical elements and three loops (D, anti-codon, and T loops). Further hydrogen bonds mediate the characteristic L-shaped molecular structure. tRNAs have two regions of fundamental functional importance: the anti-codon, which is responsible for specific mRNA codon recognition, and the 3' end, to which the tRNAs corresponding amino acid is attached (by aminoacyl-tRNA synthetases). tRNAs cope with the degeneracy of the genetic code in two manners: having more than one tRNA (with a specific anti-codon) for a particular amino acid; and 'wobble' base-pairing, i.e. permitting non-standard base-pairing at the 3rd anti-codon position. Lineage: Eukaryota; Metazoa; Chordata; Mammalia; Carnivora; Felidae. The record is from Rfam by way of RNAcentral.